GCAGUGGUGGUUCAGCGGUAGAAUUUCCGCUUUGCAUGGGGGAGGUCUGGAUUUGAUUCCCGGCCAGUGCA
This 71-nucleotide transfer RNA is filed under the name Loxodonta africana (African savanna elephant). It matches the Rfam family "tRNA". Rfam says of the family: Transfer RNA (tRNA) molecules are approximately 80 nucleotides in length. The record is from Rfam by way of RNAcentral. Lineage: Eukaryota; Metazoa; Chordata; Mammalia; Proboscidea; Elephantidae.